This 743-nucleotide ribosomal RNA is filed under the name uncultured archaeon. RNAcentral describes it as "bacterial SSU rRNA". It matches the Rfam family "Archaeal small subunit ribosomal RNA", at positions 40 to 789 of the family's 1478-position model. The record is from RNAcentral.
GAUACUAAGCCAUGCGAGUCAUUGUAGUAAUACAAGGCAUACGGCUCAGUAACGCGUAGUCAACCUAACCUAUGGACGGGAAUAACCUCGGGAAACUGAGUAUAAUGCCCGAUAGAACAUUAUGCCUGGAAUGGUUUAUGUUCCAAAUGAUUUAUCGCCGUAGGAUGGGACUGCGGCCUAUCAGUUUGUUGGUGAGGUAAUGGCCCACCAAGACUAUUACAGGUACGGGCUCUGAGAGGAGUAGCCCGGAGAUGGGUACUGAGACACGGACCCAGGCCCUAUGGGGCGCAGCAGGCGAGAAAACUUUGCAAUGUGCGAAAGCACGACAAGGUUAAUCCGAGUGGUUUCUGCUAAAGGAACCUUUUGUUAGUCCUAGAAACACUAACGAAUAAGGGGUGGGCAAGUUCUGGUGUCAGCCGCCGCGGUAAAACCAGCACCUCAAGUGGUCAGGAUGAUUAUUGGGCCUAAAGCAUCCGUAGCCGGAUCUGUAAGUUUUCGGUUAAAUCUGUACGCUCAACGUACAGGCUGCCGGGAAUACUGCAGAUCUAGGGAGUGGGAGAGGUAGACGGUACUCGGGAGGAAGGGGUAAAAUCCUUUGAUCUCUCGAUGACCACCUGUGGCGAAGGCGGUCUACCAGAACACGUCCGACGGUGAGGGAUGAAAGCUGGGGGAGCAAACCGGAUUAGAUACCCGGGUAGUCCCAGCUGUAAACUAUGCAAACUCAGUGAUGCAUUGACUUGUGG